UACGAAGGGGGCUAGCGUUGUUCGGAAUUCCUGGGCGUAAAGCGCGCGUAGGCGGAUAUUUAAGUCAGGGGUGAAAUCCCGGGGCUCAACCCUGGAACUGCCUUUGAUACUGGAUAUCUGGAGUUCGGGAGAGGUGAGUGGAAUUCCGAGUGUAGAGGUGAAAUUCGUAGAUAUUCGGAGGAACACCAGAAGCGAAGGCGGCUCACUGGCCCGAUACUGACGCUGAGGCGCGAAAGCGUGGGGAGCAAACAGG
RNAcentral lists this ribosomal RNA (253 nucleotides) under uncultured bacterium. Its description in RNAcentral is "partial 16S ribosomal RNA". It matches the Rfam family "Bacterial small subunit ribosomal RNA", at positions 524 to 776 of the family's 1533-position model. The record is from RNAcentral.